AAUUGGAGGGAGCCGUCGAAGGUGGGGCAGAUGAUUGGGGUGAAGUCGUAACAAGGUAGCCGUAUCGGAAGGUGCGGCUGGAUCACCUCCUUUCUAAGGAA
This 101-nucleotide ribosomal RNA is filed under the name Bacillota bacterium. Its description in RNAcentral is "Firmicutes bacterium (anaerobic digester metagenome) partial 16S ribosomal RNA". It matches the Rfam family "Bacterial small subunit ribosomal RNA", at positions 1441 to 1533 of the family's 1533-position model. The record is from RNAcentral. Lineage: Bacteria; Bacillati; Bacillota.